UCCUUUGUUGAAUGAAGGGAGUCUGGUUGCUAAAAAGUGAGUUUUCUUAAUCAGUAUGUAUGGCCCCUCUGCACAUGCUGUUUCUUCGUAUUUAUGAGGCCCUCAAGCUUUGUCAGUUUUCUGAUAGAUAUGGAAUUUUAAUUUGAUAGUCCCAACAACGGUGGGUAUUGAUGGAGCUAUCUAUUAUUUAUUGUCAAUCUGUAAUACUUUUGUCAGCUUCUAGCAUGUCGUUGCUCUGCCAGAGUGCAAUUUUCUCUGCAUGGCAUACACCAGUUACCAUUAGUUGAUAUGUUUGUUGAAGUUUUAUUGCAAGUUAAAUAAAUGUGGUGUGGCAUACUGAUUAUUAUAGUUUGAUAAUGUCAGGCGCCGAUGGCUUUAGAUAUGUAAAUAAAAUAUGGUGAUUGUCACCGGCAUGUAGUGUGGCAUACUAAUCAAAUGACUAAGCAUUUAAUUAUUGUUCUGUUAUGUUAUUGAUUUCACCGGCUUUAUGUCGGCCGAUUAGUUCUGAAGGAUUCCACAUCGGCUAAUUUAGAUUAUGUUACUAGAGUAUUAGAAGAAGUUCCUGAUAUAUGUAUUUAGAGCAUUUGCGGAGAUUUGAUACAAAAUAUUGAUGACCAGGCAUUAUACUGCGCAUAAGCACAAUUUUUUAGUUUUUCUUUUUAUUGUUGCAGCAGCUUUUCUAUAGCAAUAGCCAAAUAGUGUGACAUAACACUAUUCCAUUUUCACAGGCCAUAACACAUCUUUACAUGUAAGUUUGUUCUCUAGAUAGUUCUCUUUCCAAGAUUUUCAUAUCAUAUUUGUUGUGGGAUCUGACUGCUUUACCAUAUUUUCCUGGUGUGGACGAUGUUAUAGAGUGAGCUACCAUCACUUCUCAUUACUGACUGUAAUCUAUGUGUUUAUGCCAUAAAAGAUGGAUAUUUGUCGAAGCCAUUGUCGUGUCAUGUAAUUACCUGGAGAUCAGCUAUUUAGUUUUGUUCAGAUUGUAAAGUGGAAAUGACAACUCCCGUGUGAUUGUCAUUUGAUUAUUUACUUCCUCAAGUAGUAUGGAUAUGGUGCUGCCAGGAUAUUAAGUAUAUUCAUGAAGUUGUAUAAACCACGUUCUACGAUUCACUUCUGUUAUGCAUUUUUACUUUCCAGUUUUAGGACUGAAAUCCAUCCAUUGUAAUGAACUUGGUUGUAUGGGCAUUUACCUAUUUGACUUAGGCUUGCUUCAUCACAUAUAGACUGCUUUUCUUUUCCCCACUGCUUGUAUGACCUAAAACUAUCAUGUAUAUGAGGCAAGUUAUUAGCAAUGUUUCACAUUUUCUUACUUGCAAUACUGUGCUUGCCUAUUUCAG
This 1337-nucleotide long non-coding RNA is filed under the name Triticum aestivum (bread wheat). RNAcentral describes it as "long non-coding RNA (TAES_LNC003446)". The record is from RNAcentral. Lineage: Eukaryota; Viridiplantae; Streptophyta; Magnoliopsida; Poales; Poaceae.